AUAACCCCGGGAAACCGGAGCUAAUACCGAAUGAGACCACGAUGACUUCGGUCGAUGUGGGAAAAGGUGGCCCCUUCUUGAAAGCUACCGCCGAAGGAUGAGCCCGCGUUUGAUUAGCUUGUUGGUGAGGUAAAAGCUCACCAAGGCUCCGAUCAAUAGCUGGUCUGAGAGGACGAUCAGCCACACUGGAACUGAGACACGGUCCAGACUCCUACGGGAGGCAGCAGUCGGGAAUAUUGGGCAAUGGGCGAAAGCCUGACCCAGCAACGCCGCGUGAAGGAUGAAGGCCUUCGGGUCGUAAACUUCUGUCGAGAGGGAAGAAUUGCGUACGGUUAAUAUCCGUGCGUUUGACGGUACCUCCAAAGGAAGCACCGGCUAACUCCGUGCCAGCAGCCGCGGUAAUACGGAGGGUGCAAGCGUUGUUCGGAUUUAUUGGGCGUAAAGCGAGUGUAGGCGGUUUGGCAAGUCGAGUGUGAAAGCCCAGGGCCCAACCCUGGAACUGCAUCCGAUACUGCCAGGCUAGAGUCCCGGAGAGGAUGGCGGAAUUCCCGGUGUAGGGGUGAAAUCCGUAGAUAUCGGGAGGAACACCAGUGGCGGAGGCGGCCAUCUGGACGGUGACUGACGCUCAGACUCGAAAGUGUGGGUAGCAAACAGGAUUAGAUACCCUGGUAGUCCACACCGUAAACGGUGAGAGCUCGUCGUAGUGGGUAUUGACCCCUGCUGUGACCAAGUUAACGCAUGAAGCUCUCCGCCUGGGAAGUACGGUCGCAAGACUAAAACUCAAAGAAAUUGACGGGGGCCCGCACAAGCGGUGGAGCAUGUUGUUUAAUUCGAAGCAACGCGCAGAAUCUUACCUGGAUUUGACAUCUCGGGAAUCUCUCUGAAAGGAGAGAGUGCCUUCGGGAACCCGAUGACAGGUGCUGCAUGGCUGUCGUCAGCUCGUGUCGUGAGGUGUUGGGUUAAGUCCCGCAACGAGCGCAACCCCUAUCGUUAGUUGCUAGCAGUUCGGCUGAGCACUCUAGCGAGACUGCCGGUGUUAAACCGGAGGAAGGUGGGGACGACGUCAAGUCCUCAUGGCCUUUAUGUCCAGGGCUACUAACGUGCUACAAUGGUCGGUACAGACGGUCGCGAACCUGCGAAGGUAAGCCUAUCCUACAAAGCCGGCCUCAGUUCGGAUUGAAGUCUGCAAUUCGACUUCAUGAA
RNAcentral lists this ribosomal RNA (1203 nucleotides) under metagenome. RNAcentral describes it as "bacterial SSU rRNA". It matches the Rfam family "Bacterial small subunit ribosomal RNA", at positions 143 to 1324 of the family's 1533-position model. The record is from RNAcentral.